RNAcentral lists this ribosomal RNA (808 nucleotides) under uncultured Actinomycetes bacterium. RNAcentral describes it as "bacterial SSU rRNA". It matches the Rfam family "Bacterial small subunit ribosomal RNA", at positions 1 to 815 of the family's 1533-position model. The record is from RNAcentral. Lineage: Bacteria; Bacillati; Actinomycetota; Actinomycetes.
CCGCGGGAUUAGAGUUUGAUCCUGGCUCAGGACGAACGCUGGCGGCGUGCUUAACACAUGCAAGUCGAACGGGCCUGUGGCACUUGUGUCGCGGGUUAGUGGCGAACGGGUGAGUAACACGUGAGUAACCUGCCCCAGACUCUGGGAUAACUCCGGGAAACCGGUGCUAAUACUGGAUAUGACAUCAAGCCGCAUGGUUAUGGUGUGGAAAGUUCUUCGGUCUGGGAUGGGCUCGCGGCCUAUCAGCUUGUUGGUGAGGUAGUGGCUCACCAAGGCGACGACGGGUAGCCGGCCUGAGAGGGCGAUCGGCCACACUGGGACUGAGACACGGCCCAGACUCCUACGGGAGGCAGCAGUGGGGAAUAUUGCACAAUGGGCGCAAGCCUGAUGCAGCGACGCCGCGUGAGGGAUGACGGCCUUCGGGUUGUAAACCUCUUUCAGCAGGGGAGAAGCCUUUCGGGGUGACGGUACCUGCAGAAGAAGCACCGGCUAACUACGUGCCAGCAGCCGCGGUAAUACGUAGGGUGCGAGCGUUGUCCGGAAUUAUUGGGCGUAAAGAGCUUGUAGGCGGUUUGUCGCGUCUGCUGUGAAAAUCCGGGGCUCAACCCCGGACUUGCAGUGGGUACGGGCAGACUAGAGUGUGGUAGGGGAGACUGGAAUUCCUGGUGUAGCGGUGGAAUGCGCAGAUAUCAGGAGGAACACCGAUGGCGAAGGCAGGUCUCUGGGCCAUUACUGACGCUGAGAAGCGAAAGCAUGGGGAGCAAACAGGAUUAGAUACCCUGGUAGUCCAUGCCGUAAACGUUGGGAA